RNAcentral lists this ribosomal RNA (258 nucleotides) under uncultured bacterium. RNAcentral describes it as "partial 16S ribosomal RNA". It matches the Rfam family "Bacterial small subunit ribosomal RNA", at positions 15 to 270 of the family's 1533-position model. The record is from RNAcentral.
GAUCAUGGCUCAGGAUGAACGCUAGCGGCAGGCUUAACACAUGCAAGUCGAGGGGCAGCGCGGGGCGGCAACGUCCUGGCGGCGACCGGCGGAAGGGUGCGUAACGCGUGAGCGACAUGCCCGUUGCCCGGGGACAACCGGUGGAAACGCCGACUAAUCCCCGAUGGGACGGAGGCCCUCAUGGGUCUCUGUUGAAAGUUACGGCGGCGACGGAUUGGCUCGCGUCCGAUUAGCUAGUUGGCGGGGUAACGGCCACCG